CAGAAGAUAGUUUAAUUUAGAAUCCUGGCUUUGGGAGCCAGGGGUGGGAGUUAGAAUCUCUCUCUUCUGG
This 70-nucleotide transfer RNA is filed under the name Acheilognathus imberbis. RNAcentral's name for it is "tRNA-Pro". It matches the Rfam family "tRNA". Rfam says of the family: Transfer RNA (tRNA) molecules are approximately 80 nucleotides in length. Their secondary structure includes four short double-helical elements and three loops (D, anti-codon, and T loops). Lineage: Eukaryota; Metazoa; Chordata; Actinopteri; Cypriniformes; Acheilognathidae. The record is from RNAcentral.